UAUAAGGCUGACACACGGAGCACAACAAUGCAGAUUUCCCUUUUAGACGCAUACUACAUGACAAACCAAGUAAUUUGACACUAAUAAUUGGGUUGACCAGCCCAUUGGACUUACAAUCUAAAGAAUUAAAGAAAACAAUAUGGACUUAAUUAUAAAGAUAAAAACCCAACUCAACAACCUGUGACACAAACCCGGCCCAGUGGCCCAAUUCCCUUCUCAUAAGACAUAAUCCUAACAUAUCAUCUCUCCCUGAACUUGAAGUGUGACACGCUUCGGUACAAUUCGAGGAAAACCCAUCUCAGAAAUCAAUUUUCAAAUCUGGAUCUUUGGAUGAUCACCUUUAACUAGGGUUUCAUGACUUCAUCAGCUAAUAAGUUGAUUAGGGAGUAUGUUGAGGAUGGGUUAUAUGGAAGUGCAAUAAAGCUUUGUCUUGGAAUGAUUGAACGUUGUUCCCCAGCUGAUGAAUUCAGUAUCUUUGCCUACUUAAUUAAGGCAGACGUUGGGAUUUCUAAGUUAGACAAGUUCAAACAAAUUCAUAGUCUCAGCAAUUUCUCCAACAUGCAUUAUAAUAACUGUGGAAGGAGCUUCCAACCCUUGUCUAAACAGAAAUGAGAUAAUGAGGAGAGUACUCUGUCGAAAUUGGUUGCUGUUUAGUGAUGGCUGUGUUUUCAAGCACCUGCGAUCACCUCUGUGUACUGUGGGUUGGUUCAUGAUGUUUUCUCAACUGAGAAUGUUGGGGCAUUACACAAGAUUUACACGCACUCUCUCACAUGAACAUGCAUGUAAUAUUUUUUAUGCCCUUUUGUUUUAAUAUUUUGAAUGCUUUAUGAUGACCUCUCUGAUCCUAACAGUCGACCGGCCAUAUGCCCUCGUAUACAUGUAUGUGGUAUUUGGACACUCAGACAACUGUUACUGCAAUUGUGGUGGGCAGCAAGAGUGUCUGCAUUGCUGCUGCAGACAGAGCAAAAUCAAGUUUAAGACAUUUGAGCUACUCUCUGGGACCCUGCUGCAUUCUUAAAGAACUAGGUUGUUUCCUUUUCACUUCCAGUUGUGGUUUUUGAGCCAACAAUACAAGCUAUGCAUUUGGUGACA
Molecule: long non-coding RNA, 1092 nt
Organism: Carya illinoinensis
Lineage: Eukaryota; Viridiplantae; Streptophyta; Magnoliopsida; Fagales; Juglandaceae
Exons: 2
Source: RefSeq, a predicted model, not a curated record